GUGGGCGGCCAUACCACCUUGAUCAUGGAAGCUAAGCAGGGUUGGGUCUGGUCGGUACUUAAAUGAGAGACCACCUGGGAAUGCGGGUGGUGUAGGCU
This is a ribosomal RNA of Cercocebus atys (sooty mangabey), 98 nucleotides long. NCBI's taxonomy places the organism in Eukaryota, Metazoa, Chordata, Mammalia, Primates, Cercopithecidae. The record is from Ensembl.